AGAGUUUGAUCCUGGCUCAGAUUGAACGCUGGCGGAAUGCUUUACACAUGCAAGUCGAACGGCAGCACGGGUGCUUGCACCUGGUGGCGAGUGGCGAACGGGUGAGUAAUGCAUCGGAACGUACCGAGUAAUGGGGGAUAACGCAUCGAAAGGUGUGCUAAUACCGCAUACGCCCUGAGGGGGAAAGUGGGGGAUCGCAAGACCUCACGUUAUUCGAGCGGCCGAUGCCUGAUUAGCUAGUUGGUGAGGUAAAGGCUCACCAAGGCGACGAUCAGUAGCUGGUCUGAGAGGAUGAUCAGCCACACUGGAACUGAGACACGGUCCAGACUCCUACGGGAGGCAGCAGUGGGGAAUUUUGGACAAUGGGCGCAAGCCUGAUCCAGCCAUUCCGCGUGAGUGAAGAAGGCCUUCGGG
This 414-nucleotide ribosomal RNA is filed under the name uncultured bacterium. Its description in RNAcentral is "bacterial SSU rRNA". It matches the Rfam family "Bacterial small subunit ribosomal RNA", at positions 8 to 422 of the family's 1533-position model. The record is from RNAcentral.